RNAcentral lists this small RNA (609 nucleotides) under Pan troglodytes (chimpanzee). RNAcentral's name for it is "processed transcript". The record is from RNAcentral. Lineage: Eukaryota; Metazoa; Chordata; Mammalia; Primates; Hominidae.
GGGUAUGGCGGCCAGCCUGUGGAUGGGCGACCUGGAACCCUACAUGGAUGAGAACUUCAUCUCCAGAGCCUUUGCCACCAUGGGGGAGACCGUAAUGAGCGUCAAAAUUAUCCGAAACCGCCUCACUGGGAUCCCAGCUGGCUACUGCUUUGUAGAAUUUGCAGAUUUGGCCACAGCUGAGAAGUGUUUGCAUAAAAUUAAUGGGAAACCCCUUCCAGGAGCCACACCUGCCCAGGAAACUGAAGCUCAGGGAAUUGAAAUAACUUGCCCAAGGCAACACAGGUAGUAAAUGGCAGAGCCAGGAUUCAGACUGAAGAUUGGUUGCCUCCCAAAUCCAUGCCUUUCCAUUCUGCAUUGCUGCCUCCCAUAACCGAAGACUUGAAACUCUAGACCUCUUGCCUGAUUGGGAAACUAGAAUAGGCUGGCAGCAGCAAGGACACAUUUCAAGAGAGUUGCAUUCUGCUCUUCCCACAGUUACUUAGCUUACAGCUGCACCAGCUGGCACACCUGGGCUCAUAGAACCAUGGAGCUGGCAGUGCCCUUAGCGGUCAUCCGUGCAACCCCCUCAUUUUAUACAGGAGAAAAAGCUGAGGCUUAGAGAGGGGGAGA